GGUUGCCCUUUCCUUCUCCAGGGAUUGAACCUGGAUCUCUCCUUCCUGCCCCACCACCCCCGCCAGACCCUUAGCAAGCAGAUUUUUGCCACUGAGUCACCAGGGAAGCCCACUAGUUUAUGUGGAUAAGAUAAAUUAGGGAGGUCACUUAUUCUGUUAGACUGGCUCUGACAGCAGUUGGGUGGUGUGCACUGUGUGGGGCCUAGGAGAUGCUCUGAUUUACUGUUACUUAUAUGGAAGGUUUCUGCAUAGGAUCAGAAUUCAUAUGCAUUCUCAGCUUUAAACAUAAAACUGAAUUUUCAGGGAAAUUGAAUUCCAUCCACAGUAAAUUUUGAUUCUGUAAAUAAAAAGCUUGCAAAGUCUUAAUAAAAAGGAAACCAUCUAACCUUAAAAAUGAAUUUAUUACUAAGUGAAUUUAACUCACAAAAGGAAUUUUCCAUAAUAUUUAGACUUUUGUUGGUUUUGGCUUUGUUUGUUUCUUACUAACAUUUAUAGUUGUUUGGUCUGGUCAAAUAUUGAAUUUGAGUUCAAAGAUACAUCCCCUCUGAGGAUGCAGUCUAACGAGGCCAAGUAAAUAAUCGGAAAAAAAUAAGUUUCCAAGUUUUAAGGGCAGUACUCUUUCCAUGGCAGCAUGUCUUACCUUUUCAGUCAUCUGCAAAAUUGGGCUACUCAUUCCUACACAGGUGAAUGUGCUGAUUUCUGUCUUUUUCUUUCCCGCUUAUCCCCCAUCCUUCUUUGCUCAGUUUCCACUUUCUUUCCUCUUGAUGUUUGCCUCAUCUCUUCCUGUGUAAUGUAUGGCCACGUCUUUGGGGAGCAGCAGCGUGGCACCAGAAACAAGGGGCGCCCUCGCAGUUACAUUCUGCAGACUCAUCAUGGGGCUCCAGGCAGGUCACUAAUCGUGAAAUGGGGGAGUCAGUGCUGGCUGGGUGUUAGUUGAUUGAGGUGGCGUGGACAGAACCUGGGGACUUCAGGGCCCUGUCAGUGGCCCUUCAACAUAUUGCCAUUGCUGUCACUUACCUUACAGGCCUACGUGACCCAGCAGUCAGUUAUUCUGUGCAAGAGGGAGCAAGGGCUUUAAGUCGGGUGGCCAGAGGGUUAUUUCUCUGCUGUUUAACAGCUGUGUGACCUCAGGUGAGUUUCUUAAUCUCAUUUAUCCUCAAUUUCCUUGUUUGUAAUACCUCCCAUGAAAGGUGGUUCUCAGGAUCACAGAUAAUAUAACAUAAAAUACCCAGCAAAGUCCUGACACAAGGAAGGUGUUUAUAAAUGGUAGCUAUUGAUGUUUUAAGUAGGCUAAAAGGUCUCUUUCACAUGCUUUUACAGUCAUUUAAUCUCAAUCUCUCUUUCACAAACACACACAUACAACAGUUACCAUCCUAAGCUCCUCAAAUGGUCCAUGCACCUUACCAUUUUAAGAAUGGCCUUUUGUUCCCAGGGAAAUGGUUCUGUUGCCAGCUGAAAGGAAUAUUCAGGAAAUGGCUCAGGAAAAAAAAAAAAAAAAAAGUAGAAAUGUAUUAAAAAAAAAUUACUCUGUGGUAAUGUUAUCUCUUUGUCUCCUCUGCCUAAUUGUGAUGUCUCCCAAUGCUGUCAAAAACAACAGCCAAUCCAAAUCUUGUUGAAGUCUAGCCUGCCUGGGACUAGGGUACCCCUCUUAGCAUGCUUGCAGUUGUGUUACCUUGCUUGGAUCGACUAAUAAGUGGCCAGGAGUCAUUUUGCAUGACAGCCUUUCAAUUCUGCAGAAACCCUAAAACUGACCCAGAUAAAUGCCUGGGUCCCCCAGGACUGUGAGUCUCUACGUUGCCCCUUUGUUAGGUGUCAUAUCCUCUUGACUGCCUCUCAAGGUGAAGAGAACUGGGCGGCACUGGUGAGAGAGUGCAGCCAGGAGACCUGCUGCAGCCCCUGCAGGAGGGGCCCUGUCUUUGACUGAAGGCUGUAAUAUUGCUCUUGUGACAAGCGUCUUUUUAGUCAAAAGCAGUAAAUCUUCCCUUUUGUAAAUGACAGAUGGUUAGGAUUGUUACUUCUGUCUCCAGCAAACCCAUAAGAGGAAAAACAAACAGAUAACUGACAUUGAGUUCUUCUUGUUUUCAAGAAAACUAGGGAAGAUUUGAAGCCGUAUUGUUUCAGUAAGGUUUUGCAGUGUUUGUGAUCCACAGAACAACCCCACCCAUUCCCACCCACUGAUGUCCACAUGCUAAUAAUCCCCAGGACCUGUGAAUAUGUUAGGUUACAUGGCAAAGUGGAGAAUUUAUAAUUGCAGAUGGAGUUAAGGUUGCUAAUCAGCUACCCUUAAAAUAGGGAGAUUAUUCUGUAUUGCCUGGUGAGCCCAAUAGAAUCACAGUGGAAUAGGGAGCAGAAAGAGAAAGAGGUGACUGGACUCAAGGUUAGAGUGAUGUGGUCUGAGGACAUGACCGACCACAGCGGACUGGGAAGAGGGAGGAAGAGGGGCUGUGAGCCAAGGGACGCAGGUGGCCUCUAGAAGCUGAGAAAGGCAAGGAAACGUAUCUUUGGAACCUGGAACCUUCAGAAGGUCCUGCCAACACCUUGAUUUCAGCCCAGUGAGCCCCAUUGCAGACUUCUGACCUCCAGAAUUAAAAUAAAUCUGUGUUAAGUCAUUACGUUUGUGGUAAUGUUACAGUAGGAUAGAAAACUAAUACAGCAUUUAACUGCACAAUGAAAUAUCUAAAACUGAUGGACCCAAAUUUCCUCUCUCUUUCCAAGGAAGGUGCUGCUACUAGUGAAAUGACAAAGCAAAAGCAAGGAGAGGGAGUCAGCCGCGGGCCAGGCUGGCCACUGCCGGAGCGCUGGUUGGAGCGGUCUCUUCCGUUCCUGUCUCCUCGUCUCUCCUCGGCCUGGCCUCGGUCCGGGGUUCUUCCCCGCACCCCCGUGUUGCCGCUGCUUCUCUUUUCACCAGCAGUCUUCUCUCCAGCUCCCCGCUUCUCCUCUGAUGGGAGCUGGCACUGGCCCAGCUUAGCAAGAGGAAAAUGGACAUUCCUCCUAGUUUCCUCCCUCCUGUCCACACCUGCAUAGUCCCUGGGGAAGAGUCUUGACUGAAAGUGAGCAAAGAAAGGAGGAGUACACAGGAAAAAUAGACGCCUGAAAUCAGUCAGGCUGGACAUACUUCAAGGGAAGGGAGACAAACAGGAGAUGCCACCUCAUCUCAUUGACUUAGCUGUUGCCAUUUUUUUUAGCAAAGUUCCAGUGUACUCUCCACCAGGCCUGAGUGCAGCUGUUAUUCCUGUGUUCCCAGUGGUACAGCAGACCCUUCUCCAUUUCUCCAAAUGGUUAACUGCACACUUAGAGCUCUUGGCAGAGUCUGGGAUGCAGAGUUAAGUACUUGGGGUGUACCUAGCCCCAUCACCAUCUGUGAUCUGUACAAAAUUUGAUACACGCUUUAAGCUAGUCAAAUACUCAUUGGCCCUCUAUUGUGCACUUGGCAGUGCCCUAGGUGUAGGAAGUGGAGGUGGGCAGCAAGGACUAGUGAGCCCGGCUCUCUGGUGGAGAAAUGGGAUUUGGGGAUUGUGAUGAGCAGCGUCACAGCAUAUGAGCAAUUUACUGAAAGUGUUGUCCUAAAGACAUGAGCUUAUCUAGACAAAAACAAAAAAAUUAAAAUUCCUCCCCUAAAGGUUGUUCAGUGACUCUGUGUACUUCCAGGAGGACAAUAAGCUCUUUCUUUGGAAUCUGGGAGGUGCUUCCAGGGCAUGAGAAAGAAUGCUCUACUCUGCGGCCUUUGAUGUGAUCUCCCAGGUGUGCCAAAUAAUGCCUUGGUAGCUUUCCAACCACCUGUUGUCAUUUUACAAGUUUCGCCAGAUGCCUUUAUAUAUUGGGCAGAAUCAAAUCUUGAAAAGGGACGACGUGACAGCUUUAACGCCCAUCAUGUUCAAAGUAUACUCCAUGUCGGGGCUGCAUUGUCAUUCAUUAGAGAUGAAGAUUUACAGUGUCUUAAUUAGAAUCACCUGUCACUAACGGGUCUCAUUGGCUUCUGUCUUUCUCAGAAACUUUUGUUAGAGGGAUCUUUUCUUUUCGGCCACUGCUGCAUGGCACGUGGGAUCUUAGUUCUCCAACCAGGGGUCAACACUAUACUCCUUGCGGUGGGGUGGAAGUGCAGAGUCUUAACCACUGGACCACUAGGGAAGUCCCUAGAGAGAACUUUUUUUUUUUUAAUUGAGCUACCCCUUCUCUUCCCUCCCGCUUAUCUGAGUCAGAUGCUCUCAUAAUGCCUCACACUUCCUCUUUGUUAGCAGUCAUCACACCGAACGGUAGUGCCUAUUCACUCAUGUGUGUCUCCCACUAAGCUCUAAUCCGUGGCGGCUGGCCCAUGCCUGCCUUGUGUACGUUUGUUUGUACACCACUCAGCCCUGAUGGCAGCAGGUGAAUGAUACAUGUGGGUGUGUUGCGUGAGAGAAAGCCACUAUUGCUGCCUAAGAACUUACAGUGAUUCUCCAUUGUGUAUCAGAUACAGACGCUUCAUUUCAGUUCUCAGCUCCUUGGAUUUUUCUUGUAUAGGAGCUUUCAGAUCUCCUCCGGGCCCCUAUCUGAUUACUUGCAUCUUCGUGCUGUAGGGUGUCCACUCUGCCUGUCCACCCAGGGUAGUUUGUCCCCAAAGGCUGCUGCCAGCUCCUUGAUUUCUUCUCUGCACUCUUGCCACUCCCUCAUGGAGAGAGAUUCCUCUGCCCCCUUGAACCUGGGCUGGCCUGUGACCAAUUUGACCAACAGCCUAUGGCAGAAGUGACACUGGUGCCAAUUCUGGGCCUACUCUUAGUAAGAGAAGACAGUUUCCUAUCCCUUAGAGCCCUGAACUGCCACUAAUAAAUGCAGGCAAAUAAGCCACGUGGAGGAGGCUGAGGCACUAGCAAGUGAGUGAAGAAGCUCCAUUAGCCAGCCAGCCCAGGUGAGCCUUGAGGCGACUCCAAUCCCAGCUAGUCCCUGUUGUUUUCUGACUGUAACUACUCAAGAAAUCUGAGGCAGCACCACCCAGUCAAAUACGGUCAGCCUACAGAACCAUGAUAUAGCAAUAGUAGUUUUAAGCCACUGAGUUUUGGGGUGAUUUGCUGUAUAGCAAUAAAUACCCUAAAUACCACCCUCCAAGGUCCCAAAUGUAGAUUUUUGGUAAAGCUUUUCUGUGCAAGUCUAGUUGAUGAUAGUCCUUCCCUUCUCUAAUUCCCAUAGGACCUCUCAGUACCACACAUUUUGUUAUCCAGCGGUACAUAUUGUUUCUAUUUUCUAUACUCUGUUCUGGACUCCAUGACUUUCAAGAUACCAAGCAAUGGAAAUAUGUCUUUUGAGAUCCCUUCAACAAGUACCAGUCCUGGACAAAAUAUAAUUAAUAAGCUGUUGAAUUGAGUUUUAAAGCAUUCUUUGAGCUUUCUGCCAGCUCUUUUAGCUGUGAUUCUUCAUGGUAUCUUGGAGCAUUCUUUCAAGUCAUGGUUGUGAAGUAUGUCUGGUUGCAGGUAGCCCUCAAGAUCCACCCAAAGACAGAAUGCGACACAGCAGUGGUUCUCCAAGUCUGGUCCUGGAUCAGCAGCAUCACUGUCAGCUGGGAACCACUUAGACAUGCAGAUUCUAAGGUCUACCCUGGACCUGUGAAAUUUGAGGUUCUGGGAGUGGGGCCCAGCAUUCAGUGUUUGAACAAGUUUUCCAGAUAAUUGUGAUGCAUGCUGAAGCAUGAGCGUCAUUCUUGUAAGAGAAAAGAGUUCGAGGUUUAAGAUAGAAGGUCUAGGAUUUUUUCAUUAAACAGCAUUUAUUGGAUGUGCAUUUGCUUGUGCGGGGUGUAGUGUUAGGGGCAGGGGAUACUAAGAUGGCUAUCGGUUGGUCUCUGCCCUUGUGUGCUGAGGGAGGGUGAGGUGGCUGCUCUGUUUAUGUAUGUAUGAAUGAGACAUACCCCCAAAUGAUCUGUAGAAAACCCACACACUGAAUGAAACAGUCCAAUUUUUUUUUACCUUCACUUUUCUAUUUAAGGAUCAGAUGUCAUUAUCAUGAACUUAAAUAAGCUUUAGGAACCCUUUUAUCAGGAUAUGUUUUAUUAAAGAUUACUCCAUUAGUAAGUAGCCUGUUUAAAAUAGUAUUCACACUCACCAUUGAACAGAACAUCUAGAUAAGUAGAAAGAAAAUUAAAAUAAUUCAUAAUCCUACCACCAAUGGCUAAUACCACUUCAGUGCAUUUUCCUCCCAGCUUAUUAAUGCCUGGGUCUUUUUUCGUUUUUCUAUAUCUGCCUUAUGCUCUUAGUAACAUACUAUAUGCAUUCUAGGUCACUUGUUUCCUGAAGCUUCAGCAUCUUUUGGUGAAAUGGCCGUAGUAUAGUCACGAUGCUGUUUGCCCUGGGUGCAGCUGAGUAGUAGUGGAGACAGUUACUGGUUCCCCCUUUCAGUGCUGUCCAUGUCCUGCUUUCCCUUUGUUUAUUCUUUUCUAAUCAGCCCCAUAGACUCCUUCCUGUCUCUCCUCUCCACCUGUCCUACUUUUCUUCCUCCCCCUUUAGCUUUGUUGUCCACCCCUGGCUGGCGUGACCUUUCCACCCCUUGUCCCUUGAUUUCUCUUCAUCCUUCCUACACGAGGGCUGUUACCAACACACAGGGAACAGCUUCCCUUCCUUGUACAUUCUCUGACUUGGCAAAGCUCUCUUCAUUCCUCUGUUGUUGUGCUCUCAUGUGAGGGUUACACAUUUAGGGUCUGGGCUUGAGACUACAGAAUUCUUAUUUCUCUCUGCAUCCCCUAGGACAAGUGAAAGGACUUCUUGUAAUUCAUUUGCAAAAUGAAUAAAUAAAACCCCAAGGCCUGUCGGUCACCUGGAACUGCUGUUCACAAGUGCAAGACCCACUGGCAAGCCCCUAGGCUAUAUUAUACAGGCUUCUGACCUUGAUACACAGGCACUGUGAUUCCUUCAAGGAAGCCUCUGAAAAAGCUCAAAUCCAAAGCACAGGGAAGUAUUGAAACAAUACAGCCAAAACCAGAAGGAGCUACUUUCAGGUCAGAUAGGAAAUGGACAGCAUAGGAGAAGAGAGGGCUUGGGAAUGCUGUCUGUGGUGGCCCAGGACCCAUGACAGAGGGAAUGUGUAUUCUCUGAGACAAGAUUAGAACCCCUGCAUCUUUGUAGAGAAGACCAGAAUUGCUGUGAGACACAGCCUGGGAGGUAGACUGAAGUAAGCCAGUAGAGGUGCUUCCCUUGUUUUAUCUGAGAGCAGUAGUCAGUUCCACAGUCAUGAUUUCCAUCUUUGACAGCAAGCCAUUCAGGAGGAGGAGGAGGAAGCUGGGAGGCUGAGGAAGGAAGGGAGAGAAGCAUCUACUGAACCAUCAACUCAAGUGGCCUGGGAAGGAACUUCCUGGUCUGUGCUCAAGAAUGUACAGUGUUUUAAGCAUACUUCUUAUUCAAAGGAAUUUGAACAGAAUUUUGUUCAGUUCUUCCAGACUCUGGGUAUCUCCUCUUCUUCAGCUGUUAAUUGUCAAGCAUGGAGAGCUGAAGCUUACCUGCUCCUCAGUUCUUACUGAAAAAUGUAUAGAAAGUUCAGGUACAAAAUGCUAAACAGGAGGUGAGCUCUUCCACAUUCAGAUGACUUCCCCCGGCCCCCGUUUUGCUUUUUUCCCACAAACAGGUUUUGUUUGUUGGUUUAUUUUUUUUUCCUUUUCACAGUGAAGAUCGUGAGCAUUUAAAAACAAAGUAUGAAAAAAAAAUAAAAUAAAAACAAAGUAUGUAUGUAUGUCAAACUAUAAAGGAUUACAGUAAUAUGUGCUGUGGUUAUUGCUGUCUAAAAGACACACAAACUACUAGGCAACUCGGAAUUUGAAGGACUCUUGUCUGACAACUGUCUGUUCAUGUGGGCUACUGUGUGGUGGCGGAGUCUGCAUUAUUGCUGUAAGUCUGCUUUCCCAUUUCAUUCACUCUGCCAGGUUCCAAAAGGAGGAUUAUUUCCCAAGUUACAAAUAUACUUCCUUAAUGCCAUUUUCUUUUUUAGUUUGUAAUUUUAAUCACUGUAUCCCAAAUCCUCCAGAGCCAGGUUAUCUGUACUUUGUUUCCGUUGUCAGUUGCUGUGUAAUAAAAUACCCAAAUCCUAGCCGCUUGAAACCACAACCAUUUGUUCAUGUUUCUGUGCAUCAGAAAUUUGGGCAGGGCUCAGUGUGGAUGGCUCCUCUCUGCUCUGUGAUGUCUGUGACCUCUGUUGGAAUGGCCUGAAAGCUGACAGCUGGCUGGGCCUCUCUCUUACAGUAUCACCUGGAGUGAUUCAAGUGGGGUUUGAGAAUCAAAGAUGGGCUCACUCCCAAUUUCAGAGCACUUAGGUUCUCCCCCUGGUGGCCUCAUCACUCAGUAAUUUAGUCUGACAUUUGCAGGGCGGCUGGUUUCCAAGAGUGAAAGCAGGUGCUAUAGACCUCUAGAGACAUAGGCUUGGAAUUCUCAGAAUGUCAUUUCUGCAUUCUGUUAAUCAAUGCAAGUCACAGGCCAGAACAGUUCAACGGAUGGGUCUACAAACACUGCAUCUUGAUGAGAAAAUGAGCAUUUGCACACUGACAUAGAAGGCAUAGUUGGCAGCCAGCUUUGGAGACAAUCUACUGCAGCUUUCAAGAGGUAAACUGAUAUGCUAAGCACUACUCACAAGAGAAUGCUAAGACUCCUCCAUCUUCCACAGAGAAAAAUCUAAAGGUAUCUAAUCCAAAGAUGGACUCUUCAUGAGUUUCUACUGCUGAGAGGAGGAGGUGUGAUAAGCAUUAGGGUAAAAGUAAAGGUGAAAAGAGCUGGGUAGAUGUUGUAAUCGAAUCAUUUUUAAUAUAAGUAUUUCUUAUCUAGUCAGCUCUUCUGAACUAGGCUUUAGAUGAUCUAUAGUCUGCUUUUCAGCUUUCUUUUAUGGAUCAGUACUCUGAUUAUUUUUAACUUUAUGUCAGUAUUCUCUAAGUUACUUAACUUACUGGACUCUAGAACUAAGCUAUUAGCAUUUUUUGAUGUCUUAUCCCACCUGUUAAGGUAACUUUUCUCUAUAGUAUGUUACAUUUUACUAACAGUUUGUAAUUACUUAAAAUGCUUAAAUGGCAGAGGGGAAUCUUGAGUCUUAAUUGUCUUCAGCAAGGAUAUUAGUCACUAGCCCUCUCAAGAAUACUUCUUUGGAUAAAAGGGUCAAUUCAACGAGGAGAUAUAACAUUUGUAAAUGUUUAUGCACAUAAUAUAGGAACACCUAAAUGUAUAAAGCAAAUAUUAACAUACUUAAGGAGAGAAAUGGACAGCAGUAUGAUAAUAGUAGGGGGUUUUAAUAACCCACUUACAUCAAUAGAAAUCACUCAUAGGCAGAAAAUCAAACAUAUGCCUUAAAUGACAAAUUAGACAAGAUGGACUUAACAGAAAUAAAGCAUUCUAUCCAACAGCAAUACAAAAUGCAUUUUUUUCCCAGUGUGCAUGGAACAUUCUCCAGGAUAGAUCAUGUUUUAGGCCACAAAACAGUCUUAACAAAUUUAAGAAGACUGAAAUCAUAUCAGCCAUAUUUUCUCACCAUGCUGCUAUGAAAGUAGAAAUCAAUUACAAGAAUAAAAUCAGAAAAUUCACAAAUAUGUGGCAAUUAAGCUACCAAACAAAUAGGUCAACAGAGAAAUCAUAAAAACCUUGAGACAAGUGAAAAUGGAAAUAAAACGUACGAAAACCUAUGGGAUGAAGCAAAAGCUGUUCUAAGAAGAAAGGUUGUAGUGACAAGUGUAUACUUCAUGAAACAAGAAAAUCUCAAACAACCUAACUAUAUCUCAAGGAAUUAAAAGAACAAAGGUUAGUAAAAAGAAAGAAGUAAUAAAGAACAGAGCAGAAACAAAUGAAAUAGAGACUAAGAAGACAAUAGAAAAUACCAGUGAAACCAGGAGAUGGUCUUUGGUUGACAAAUCUUUAGUGAGACUUAUCAAGAGAAAAAGAGAAAGGGCUGAAAGAAAUUAGAGGAGACAUUACAACUGAUGCCACAGAAAUACAAAGGUUCAUGAAACUACUGUGAACAACUGCAUGCCGACAACCUGAACAACCUAGAAGAAUUAGCUACAUUCCUGGAAACACAACAUUCUGACAGAGUCAUGAGGAAUAGGAAGUGUGAACAGACCAACUGUUAGUAAGGAGACUGAAUCAGUAAAACCUUCCAAAAAACCGUAGGAUCAAGUGGCUUCAUUGGUGAAUUCCAACCAACUUUCAAAGAUGAAUUAAUACAAUACCAAAAUCAGAUUAGGACAUCACAAGGAAAGAAAAUCAAAGGCCAAUAUCCCUGGUAACCAUAGAUGCAGAAAUCCUCAACAAAAUAUUAGUAAACCAAAUUCAACCAUAUAUUAAAAGGAUCAUACAUCAUGAUCAAAUGGGAUUUAUUCCAAGGCUGCAAGGAUGGUUUAACAUCUUCAAAACAAGGUGAUACACCACAAUAACAAAAUGAAAGAUAAAAAUUAUAUUAGCAUCUCAAUAGAUACAGAAAAAGUAUGUGACAAAUUUCUAACAUUCAUUUAUGAUAAAAACUCAACAACAUGAGUAUAAAGGGAAUUCACCUGAACACAAUAGAGACCAUAUAUAACAAGUUCAUAACUAACACCACACUCAGAGAUGAAAAGCUGAAAACUUUUAAGAUUAGAAAGAAGAUGAGAAUGCUCACUCUUGUCCCUUUUAUUAAACACAGUAUUAGAAGGCAAAAGAAAGGAAAGGCAUCCAAAUUAGAAAGAAGUAAAACUGUCACUAUUUGCACAUGACAUGACAGUAUAUGUUAAAAAAAACAACCUGAAGACUUCCUAGAAAAUGAAUUCAGUA
Long non-coding RNA from Bubalus bubalis (water buffalo), 10733 nucleotides. RefSeq lists it as uncharacterized. The record is from RefSeq and is a predicted model, not a curated record. Lineage: Eukaryota; Metazoa; Chordata; Mammalia; Artiodactyla; Bovidae. The transcript is spliced from 3 exons.